UACGGAGGGUGCGAGCGUUGUUCGGAAUCACUGGGCGUAAAGCGCGUGUAGGCGGCCUUGUAAGUUUGGUGUGAAAGCCCGGGGCUUACCCCCGGAAGUGCACUGGAUACUGCAAGGCUAGAGUACCGGAGAGGAAAGUGGAAUUCCUGGUGUAGCGGUGAAAUGCGUAGAUAUCAGGAGGAACACCGGUGGCGAAGGCGGCUUUCUGGACGGAUACUGACGCUGAGACGCGAAAGCGUGGGGAG
RNAcentral lists this ribosomal RNA (245 nucleotides) under uncultured bacterium. RNAcentral's name for it is "partial 16S ribosomal RNA". It matches the Rfam family "Bacterial small subunit ribosomal RNA", at positions 524 to 768 of the family's 1533-position model. The record is from RNAcentral.